AUGAUUUACAAGCCUAUUAACAGUACAUUGGUUAUGAUCAUGCCCUUGAAUGGUAGACUAACAGCAGCACUACUCUCAAUUUUUAUUAAUUUUGUCAGACCAACAACUAUUUUGUUGCUUCCUGUCUACUGUUUUGAAGUUUUGCAAUUUGCCAAUGCAAGUCAGGGCAGCAAUCCGUUUCCACAUUAUCCAACAUCAUGUCUUUGUAAACAAUUCCAUAGAAUGAUGGCGCCAACCCAAAUACAAUAUGUUUUCACAUUAAAUAUUUCAAAAUUGAGUGCAGUGCUGCACUCAGCAUAG
This 300-nucleotide ribosomal RNA is filed under the name Triticum aestivum (bread wheat). RNAcentral's name for it is "partial small subunit ribosomal RNA". Lineage: Eukaryota; Viridiplantae; Streptophyta; Magnoliopsida; Poales; Poaceae. The record is from RNAcentral.